RNAcentral lists this ribosomal RNA (790 nucleotides) under Micrococcus sp. 'Mali 2'. Its description in RNAcentral is "partial 16S ribosomal RNA". It matches the Rfam family "Bacterial small subunit ribosomal RNA", at positions 1 to 789 of the family's 1533-position model. Lineage: Bacteria; Bacillati; Actinomycetota; Actinomycetes; Micrococcales; Micrococcaceae. The record is from RNAcentral.
CCGAAUUCGUCGACAACAGAGUUUGAUCCUGGCUCAGGACGAACGCUGGCGGCGUGCUUAACACAUGCAAGUCGAACGCUGAAGCUCCAGCUUGCUGGGGUGGAUGAGUGGCGAACGGGUGAGUAAUACGUGAGUAACCUGCCCUUGACUCUGGGAUAAGCCUGGGAAACCGGGUCUAAUACUGGAUACGACGUCCUACCGCAUGGUGGGGCGUGGAAAGGGUUUUACUGGUUUUGGAUGGGCUCACGGCCUAUCAGCUUGUUGGUGGGGUAAUGGCCUACCAAGGCGACGACGGGUAGCCGGCCUGAGAGGGUGACCGGCCACACUGGGACUGAGACACGGCCCAGACUCCUACGGGAGGCAGCAGUGGGGAAUAUUGCACAAUGGGCGCAAGCCUGAUGCAGCGACGCCGCGUGAGGGAUGACGGCCUUCGGGUUGUAAACCUCUUUCAGCAGGGAAGAAGCCACAAGUGACGGUACCUGCAGAAGAAGCGCCGGCUAACUACGUGCCAGCAGCCGCGGUAAUACGUAGGGCGCAAGCGUUGUCCGGAAUUAUUGGGCGUAAAGAACUCGUAGGCGGUUUGUCGCGUCUGCUGUGAAAGCCCGGGGCUCAACCCCGGGUCUGCAGUGGGUACGGGCAGACUAGAGUGCAGUAGGGGAGACUGGAAUUCCUGGUGUAGCGGUGAAAUGCGCAGAUAUCAGGAGGAACACCGAUGGCGAAGGCAGGUCUCUGGGCUGUUACUGACGCUGAGGAGCGAAAGCAUGGGGAGCGAACAGGAUUAGAUACCCUG